This 72-nucleotide transfer RNA is filed under the name Bos taurus (domestic cattle). It matches the Rfam family "tRNA". From Rfam's summary of the family: Transfer RNA (tRNA) molecules are approximately 80 nucleotides in length. Their secondary structure includes four short double-helical elements and three loops (D, anti-codon, and T loops). Lineage: Eukaryota; Metazoa; Chordata; Mammalia; Artiodactyla; Bovidae. RNAcentral also lists the same sequence under 2 other names. The record is from Rfam by way of RNAcentral.
UCCCUGGUGGCUCAGACGGUAAAGAAUCUGCCUGCAAUGCAGGAGACCCAGGUUCGAUUCUUGGGUGGGGGA